This is a long non-coding RNA of Syngnathus acus (greater pipefish), 332 nucleotides long. RefSeq lists it as uncharacterized. The record is from RefSeq and is a predicted model, not a curated record. The transcript has 3 exons. Lineage: Eukaryota; Metazoa; Chordata; Actinopteri; Syngnathiformes; Syngnathidae.
UCAUCAGCGAAGCACGAGCCAGAACAUCGUUAGCAAAACAAAACAAAACGAACAAAACAAAAAAGCCUUGUUUAAUUGACGUUUUUCCAACUAUACGUUGCACAGGAGGUGGACGUCCCAGAUGCCCGGAGUGACGUGAUUGUCAGACCAGCAAGUGAUUCCAAGGACAAGCGUGAGAAAUUCCCGGCGAGUAGGAGUCGGUAAAGCGCAUCGACAGAACAUCCGUCGACCGCUUUGAUGCGGCAGUCAAGGGUUCUCCCAGACUCCUGGAAAUCAUUACAAACCAAGGAUUUGACACCCACCCAAAAGAAAAGUGAUGAAUCACCAAGAGG